Molecule: ribosomal RNA, 788 nt
Filed under: uncultured archaeon
Lineage: Archaea
Description: bacterial SSU rRNA
Rfam family: Archaeal small subunit ribosomal RNA
Source: RNAcentral
ACGGCUCAGUAACACGUAGUCAACAUGCCCAGGGGACGUGGAUAACCUCGGGAAACUGAGGAUAAACCACGAUAAGUCACUACUUCUGGAAUGGGUAAUGACUCAAAUCUACAUGGCCCCUGGAUUGGACUGCGGCCGAUCAGGCUGUUGGUGAGGUAAUGGCCCACCAAACCUGUAACCGGUACGGGCUCUGAGAGGAGGAGCCCGGAGAUGGGCACUGAGACAAGGGCCCAGGCCCUAUGGGGCGCAGCAGGCGCGAAACCUCUGCAAUAGGCGAAAGCCUGACAGGGUUACUCUGAGUGAUUUCCGUUAAGGAGAUCUUUUGGCACCUCUAAAAAUGGUGCAGAAUAAGGGGUGGGCAAGUCUGGUGUCAGCCGUCGCGGUAAUACCAGCACCCCGAGUGGUCGGGACGUUUAUUGGGCCUAAAGCAUCCGUAGCCGGUUCUACAAGUCUUCCGUUAAAUCCACCUGCUUAACAGAUGGGCUGCGGAAGAUACUAUAGAGCUAGGAGGCGGGAGAGGCAAGCGGUACUCGAUGGGUAGGGGUAAAAUCCGUUGAUCCAUUGAAGACCACCAGUGGCGAAGGCGGCUUGCCAGAACGCGCUCGACGGUGAGGGAUGAAAGCUGGGGGAGCAAACCGGAUUAGAUACCCGGGUAGUCCCAGCUGUAAACGAUGCAGACUCGGUGAUGAGUUGGCUUUAUGCCAACUCAGUGCCGCAGGGAAGCCGUUAAGUUUGCCGCCUGGGGAGUACGGUCGCAAGACUGAAACUUAAAGGAAUUGGCGGGGGAG